RNAcentral lists this ribosomal RNA (253 nucleotides) under uncultured bacterium. Its description in RNAcentral is "partial 16S ribosomal RNA". It matches the Rfam family "Bacterial small subunit ribosomal RNA", at positions 524 to 776 of the family's 1533-position model. The record is from RNAcentral.
UACAGAGGGGGCAAGCGUUGUUCGGAAUUACUGGGCGUAAAGGGCGCGUAGGCGGCCAACUAAGUCAGACGUGAAAUCCCUCGGCUUAACCGGGGAACUGCGUCUGAUACUGGAUGGCUUGAGUGCGGGAGAGGGAUGCGGAAUUCCAGGUGUAGCGGUGAAAUGCGUAGAUAUCUGGAGGAACACCGGUGGCGAAGGCGGCAUCCUGGACCGAGACUGACGCUGAGGAGCGAAAGCGUGGGGAGCGAACAGG